This 421-nucleotide ribosomal RNA is filed under the name uncultured bacterium. Its description in RNAcentral is "bacterial SSU rRNA". It matches the Rfam family "Bacterial small subunit ribosomal RNA", at positions 355 to 774 of the family's 1533-position model. The record is from RNAcentral.
UGAGGAAUAUUGGGCAAUGCCCGCAAGGGUGACCCAGCAACGCCGCGUGGAGGAUGAAUGUCGUAAGAUUGUAAACUCCUGUUAGAGGGGAAGAAUAGUACCGGUUGGACCGGUAUAUGACUGUACCCUCAGAGAAAGCCCCGGCUAACUACGUGCCAGCAGCCGCGGUAAUACGUAGGGGGCAAGCGUUGUCCGGAUUUACUGGGUGUAAAGGGCGCGCAGGCGGGAUAAAAAGUCAGUGGUGAAAUCCUACAGCUUAACUGUAGAACUGCCUUUGAUACUUUUAUUCUUGAGUUCGGGAGAGAGAGACGGAAUUCCAGGUGUAGUGGUGAAAUACGUAGAUAUCUGGAAGAACACCAGUUGCGAAGGCGGUCUCUUGGUCCGACACUGACGCUGAGGCGCGAAAGCGUGGGAGCAAACA